CCCACCCCCACCGAACCCAUGUUCUUCCCCGAUAAAUCCCCAUCCACCUCUCCUCGAUGCCCACGCCCCAGCGCCACCACCCCCAAUCCCCAGUGCCCACUCCAGGCAUCCCACAACCACCCCACCCCCGACCGACCGGCCUCCUCUCCUUCCCGGCCGGAGUCCCGUCCCACCACCACGCACUGAUGCCGCCCAUGUACAGGCGCUGCCACACGCCGGAUCCGGUGGGAUCCGUCGAUCCCCGCCUUCAACGCCCACAUCCAGGGCCGCCAUACGGCCGGAUCCGGCGAGCCCCGCCUCCACCACCCCGGGCUGGAUCCCACUUCACCAUCCUGCAACCGGUGCGCCGCGCCAACCCGGCGCCGGCCCAUGCUCGCGCCGCCCCGCUGCCUCCUGUCUCCCACAUCACCUCCCUUCUGCCGUCGAUCGACCCCGUCGCCAGCCUGGUCUCGCGCCACCCCUGUGAGGGUUAGCCGAUCCCCCACGCUCGGGUCUGCCCUCGUCCCCGAUCUGGAUUGAGCCGCCGCUGGGAAGUUCAGCGUCACGGCGGGACAUCGUGCGGUUUGGCGCCCUCCUCGUCAUCGGUCACGGCACCGCAGCCACCGGCCUCGAGCGUCCGCUCCUCCACCUUGAUCUUAUGCUUGCCGGUGUCGCCCCGGCCGAUCCAGACAGUUGGGUGGGAGUUGGGGUGUCUCGGGCGUCCAGCCGUGGGUUCCCCCCGAUGAGUUGGACGUCUGCUCCCCUCUCUCUCCACCUCCCAUCCCCGCGGGAGCAGUGAGGCGUGUCCCUGUGCAGUGCAGUGACCCCCAAGAAACUAAGGUUGGCCUUGCAGUUCGCUGGCAAGAAUCUGCCUCUCCCCCUCCGUAGAUGCAGUUUGGCCAGAAGGGCUUUGUGAGAACAGAAAAAAUUGUUGGAGCAACUUCCACUUCCUCUGAAGUCCACUUCGCCUGCAGGAGCAACUUGCGCUUCCUGUGCAGCGACCUAUGCAGUGGAGCCACCCCUUGUGGAGAACAAAGAAAAUGCCGGAGCCCAAAACUCAGAGCUCCACUAUGUUCUCUAAUGCAGACUAUUGUACUACGUGAAAAACAAACUCUGAAGAGAAAAAAUAAAAAGGAAAAUGCAGUGUGCUUUGUUCUCUAA
Long non-coding RNA from Triticum dicoccoides, 1140 nucleotides. RefSeq lists it as uncharacterized. The record is from RefSeq and is a predicted model, not a curated record. Lineage: Eukaryota; Viridiplantae; Streptophyta; Magnoliopsida; Poales; Poaceae. The transcript has 2 exons.